RNAcentral lists this ribosomal RNA (461 nucleotides) under uncultured bacterium. RNAcentral describes it as "partial 16S ribosomal RNA". It matches the Rfam family "Bacterial small subunit ribosomal RNA", at positions 338 to 795 of the family's 1533-position model. The record is from RNAcentral.
CCUACGUGUGGCAGCAGUGAGGAAUAUUGGUCAAUGGGCGGGAGCCUGAACCAGCCAAGCCGCGUGAGGGAAGAAGGUACAGCGUAUCGUAAACCUCUUUUGUCAGGGAACAAAGGCGGGGACUAGUCCCCGGAUGAGGGUACCUGAAGAAAAAGCAUCGGCUAACUCCGUGCCAGCAGCCGCGGUAAUACGGAGGAUGCGAGCGUUAUCCGGAUUUGUUGGGUUUAAAGGGUGCGUAGUCUGUGAGGUAAGUCAGCGGGGAAAUGCCCCGGCUCAACGGGGUGAAGUGCCAUUGAUACUGGCUUGCUGGAAUGCGGAUGCCGUAGGAGGAAUGCGUGGUGGAGCGGUGAAAUGAAGAGAUAUCACACAGAACACCGAUUGCGAAGGCAUCUAACGAAUCCGCGAUUGACGCUGAUGCACGAAAGCGUGGGUAUCAAACAGGAUUAGAUACCCCAGUAGUC